Molecule: long non-coding RNA, 210 nt
Filed under: Elaeis guineensis (African oil palm)
Lineage: Eukaryota; Viridiplantae; Streptophyta; Magnoliopsida; Arecales; Arecaceae
Description: long non-coding RNA (EGUI_LNC068108)
Source: RNAcentral
UCCUCCAUCAAAGCUCUUCCCUUUCUCUCUUCCCAUCAAGCCAACACCUAAAUUUCUCUCCAAGCUGCUGCCCCUAUCUUUCUUUUUCUCUUCUUCAUAAGUUAUAGGGAGGUACUAACCCUAGCACGACACCAUAUUCCUCCAUAGAUCCAUUCUCCACAUCCUAAGAAAUCUUGGAGAGGUCCUAACCCUAGCACACUUUCCAUCAAA